UGGAGCAUGUGGUUUAAUUCGAAGCAACGCGAAGAACCUUACCAGGUCUUGACAUCCCGAUGCUUAUUUCUAGAGAUAGAAAGUUACUUCGGUACAUCGGUGACAGGUGGUGCAUGGUUGUCGUCAGCUCGUGUCGUGAGAUGUUGGGUUAAGUCCCGCAACGAGCGCAACCCCUAUUGUUAGUUGCCAUCAUUCAGUUGGGCACUCUAGCGAGACUGCCGGUAAUAAACCGGAGGAAGUGGGGAUGACGUCAAAUCAUCAUGCCCCUUAUGACCUGGGCUACACACGUGCUACAAUGGUUGGUACAACGAGUUGCGAGUCGGUGACGGCGAGCUAAUCUCUUAAAGCCAAUCUCAGUUCGGAUUGUAGGCUGCAACUCGCCUACAUGAAGUCGGAAUCGCUAGUAAUCGCGGAUCAGCACGCCGCGGUCGAAUACGUUCCCGGGCCUU
RNAcentral lists this ribosomal RNA (449 nucleotides) under uncultured Streptococcus sp. RNAcentral describes it as "bacterial SSU rRNA". It matches the Rfam family "Bacterial small subunit ribosomal RNA", at positions 933 to 1382 of the family's 1533-position model. Lineage: Bacteria; Bacillati; Bacillota; Bacilli; Lactobacillales; Streptococcaceae. The record is from RNAcentral.